GCGGGCGUAGCUCAGUUGGUAGAGCGACAGCCUUCCAAGCUGUAGGUCGCGAGUUCGAAGCUCGUCGCCCGCU
This 73-nucleotide transfer RNA is filed under the name Cytophagales bacterium. RNAcentral describes it as "tRNA-Gly". It matches the Rfam family "tRNA". Rfam says of the family: Transfer RNA (tRNA) molecules are approximately 80 nucleotides in length. Their secondary structure includes four short double-helical elements and three loops (D, anti-codon, and T loops). Further hydrogen bonds mediate the characteristic L-shaped molecular structure. tRNAs have two regions of fundamental functional importance: the anti-codon, which is responsible for specific mRNA codon recognition, and the 3' end, to which the tRNAs corresponding amino acid is attached (by aminoacyl-tRNA synthetases). tRNAs cope with the degeneracy of the genetic code in two manners: having more than one tRNA (with a specific anti-codon) for a particular amino acid; and 'wobble' base-pairing, i.e. permitting non-standard base-pairing at the 3rd anti-codon position. Lineage: Bacteria; Pseudomonadati; Bacteroidota; Cytophagia; Cytophagales. The record is from RNAcentral.